This is a non-coding RNA of Ciona intestinalis (vase tunicate), 327 nucleotides long. Lineage: Eukaryota; Metazoa; Chordata; Ascidiacea; Phlebobranchia; Cionidae. The record is from RefSeq and is a predicted model, not a curated record.
AAGGGCGCCAUGCUUGUGUUCCAAUCAGUGUUUACCGAUUGACGAACUUUUCCAUUGCCGUGUUUUAUUACACGCUCCACUGAUCCUAUUUCUAAAGGUGUUUUCUGAUCUGCUGGGAACGGUUUUCUGUGUACGGUAGCACUUUGUUCUUCCCACGUCACUUGGUUUUGUCAUGCUCAAGCGUCCUGUGGGAGGUAAUUUCUCUACACCGGACAAAUUGCCGCAACGCUUCGCUUGGCCAGACAUAGCAAACCGAUAACGAGGGCACGAAGUGAGAAGGAUAAAGAAAGAAACGAUUACUCAGUCGCUUCGUCUGCGAACGUUGAG